GUGGUCAUUUCUGAACCCAGUUGUAGGGUCAGGGGUCUGCUGCCUUUAUCACUUUCUUUGUCCUUUUUACCUCUCUCUUUCCUUCCCCACCCUUUUUAAUUAUCUCUAUCCCUUCAUCUUCACAGACUCAAUUCCAAACCAACUCCCACUCAUUCACCAUCUAUCUCAAACCGUGUCCCUCAUCUCUCUCUCUCUCUCUCUCUCUCUCUCUCUACCUUUGAACCAGCUUAUGGCUUUUGGGUCGGUGAGUUGUGUGUGAAACAUAAGGGGGGUAGAGAGAAGAGAGAAGAAAGAAGAGGAAGCUUUGUGUUUUGAGGGGAAUGUUGUCUGGCUCGAGGACACCAACUAGAUCUAUGAUCUGCGUGUAAUUGUGAAUGGGUGAUCGUCUCUCAGUUUUGAAGGAGAGAUUUUGAGUGAUCUUUGAUCAUGGGUUGGUGUCGUCGGACCAGGCUUCAUUCCCCCCAAUUUAUUGCUUCCAUUGCUGCUGAUCUUCACGGUCUUUGAUUUUAUGCCUGGAUCUGCAGAUUCAACAUAUCUGCUAGAUUUGAUACAAAGGCACUAGCUUUUGAAAUGCGUAUGCUUCACACUACUUCUAUUGCUUAAAGAAAGAGGAGAAUAAUCUUACAAGACCCAAUGAUACAUGACCAAGUUGUGUUUGAGAAGCAACCCACUUACAAUGGCAACGUUUAAAAACCCUGAAAGUAUAAUAAUCUGUGAUUUCUGUAUUGUUUUCCAUAGUCUGUUCUGAAUGAUGAGAUGGAUUGGACCUUUGAUAUUGCUCCAACAGUAUAGUCUUGUUCAUCAACAAAGUUGCAUUUCAGAACUGAAACCCAUGUCGUUUGCUCUCAUACAUGUAUAUAGUUUGUUCUUGUGGAAACCUUCAUUUUGCAGAAUGUGAGGUGGUACUUGGUCGUCAACAUCUUGAGAGGUUGAACAGAAGCAUGUGAGUUCUGGGUGACCAUGCAUGAAAAAUUUCCAGGGAAAAUGAAAAUAAAUGUUGGUAAACUAACAAGUGAGAUCAGUCAUUGGAGCUCAAAUAUGUGAGCUUUCUCUUGAACGAUUACAAAGUUUGCCUAGAAAAAAACUUAGAACUCCCUGAUCACUUUGAAGUCAAAGAUAAAAGAUGUCUGGGUGUCUGAAAACAGAACUGAGGAGAAAUGGGCAAGUGGGUUUUGGUUUGUUUUUGUGGAAUUCCUCAGGGCACAGGGGGCUGUACUGAAAGAAGUAGAAAGAAAGAAAGAAAGAAAGAAAGCUGGUGAUUUGGAUGGCAAGAAAGAAAUAAGAGAAGCGUCAUCUGGGGGACAACCGUGGUGGUUUGGUGUGGUGUGCCUCAAUGCUGUCAUCAAUUCCUGAAGCUGAGGCAUAUGGAACACUGAAAUGCUUUUAAUGGUCUGACUCUCUCUUUCUCUCUCCCUUGAUCGUACCCCUUACCUUAAUACAGUUGAGUCAACAUCAGCAGUUACGCCAUGGAUUUCUCUCUUUAACCGUGAGUCUGAGUAAAUGGCCUAUUUUUUUUAGUUGUUCAAAAACUAGUUAGGAAUCUAGUACAGAGAUGUCAGCUUGAGUCAUGCAGGCCAACACCAUCACCCCACCCUCCUAAUAACCCCCAUCAUGGCUCAAUCUAGCAAGGGUUUUUGUUUAUUUUAGUGCAUUCUCAUUUGACUCCUUGAUGGUAAAAGUAUGGUUUUCAUUACUGCUAUUGGUACUUGCGUCAUGGUUAAAUCAGUAUCUUCUUCUCUUGCUUAAUGGGAAACUGGAUUCCAUUGACCUCCAAUGUCCAAGGCUGAAGACACUUUUAUUUUUUUAUUUUUAUUUUUUAUGCUUACAACUUUACUUGAAUUAUUGAAGUGGACAUGACUAUGGAAAGUCAUAUAUAGGUAGCUUUUUAAGCUCCUUGGACUAAUGGACUCAAAGUGUCCCAAAAGUCAGACAUGGAAUGGGCUGCAACAAAGGUGUUUCGGCUGAUUAAAUCUCCUUUUUGAGUUUCACCAACCUGUUUCAACCUUAGAACAGGUUCACAUAUGAAGAUAUAUUUGUUAUUUUCUUCAGCUUAUUACACAUGUAGCUGCUUCUACUUUAGCCACAGCUUGCAAGUAAUAUAUAUAUUUUUUGUUGGGUAUUGCCAGUAAUGACCUGAAA
Molecule: long non-coding RNA, 2139 nt
Organism: Vitis riparia (riverbank grape)
Lineage: Eukaryota; Viridiplantae; Streptophyta; Magnoliopsida; Vitales; Vitaceae
Exons: 2
Source: RefSeq, a predicted model, not a curated record